UUAAGUUCAGCGGGUAUUCCUACCUGAUUCGAGGUCAACCUAUGAAUCCGUGUGAAGGGACCCGAUAAGAGUUGUUGGCAGGGCCUCGUCGUCACUCUGUCGCGAGAAGCAAGUUACUACGCGUAGAGCCCACGCCGAAGCCCGCCACUGUCUUUAAGGGCCACCGCGUAUCGCGGCGAGCCCCAACACCAGAGCCACAU
This 200-nucleotide unclassified non-coding RNA is filed under the name Erysiphe sp. Its description in RNAcentral is "partial internal transcribed spacer 2". The record is from RNAcentral. Lineage: Eukaryota; Fungi; Ascomycota; Leotiomycetes; Helotiales; Erysiphaceae.